UUUAUUGAAUCUAUUCUUAUUGCUUUUAUAUUAAUAGNGUUGGNUUUCCAACUANGACGAUAAACGAAUUUCGUAAUAAACAUUGCGGACGUGGGGGCAGUACCCACCACCUCCACCAUUAAUACAACUUAUGGGGGUGAAAUAGANUCGACGAGUGUCUAAANGCUGUUCUUUCGUUCGGUAUUGUUCCGCCGUAAUGGGCUAUUUUAUAAUUGCAAAUAAUAAAUUUGCUCUUGCAGCUUAAUUAGUUUUCUAAUUAAGUUACGGGGUCAGGGGCACCUGGCAACAGAACGCCCCCUAA
This 301-nucleotide transfer-messenger RNA is filed under the name Alphaproteobacteria bacterium. It matches the Rfam family "Alphaproteobacteria transfer-messenger RNA". Rfam says of the family: Bacterial tmRNA, also known as 10Sa RNA or SsrA, is named for its dual tRNA and mRNA-like properties. Lineage: Bacteria; Pseudomonadati; Pseudomonadota; Alphaproteobacteria. The record is from RNAcentral.